This 254-nucleotide ribosomal RNA is filed under the name uncultured bacterium. Its description in RNAcentral is "partial 16S ribosomal RNA". It matches the Rfam family "Bacterial small subunit ribosomal RNA", at positions 524 to 776 of the family's 1533-position model. The record is from RNAcentral.
UACGUAGGCAGCGAGCGUUGUUCGGAGUUACUGGGCGUAAAGGGUGUGUAGGCGGUUGUUUAAGUUUGGUGUGAAAUCUCCCGGCUCAACUGGGAGGGUGCGCCGAAUACUGAAUGACUUGGAGUGCGGGAGAGGAAAGUGGAAUUCCUGGUGUAGCGGUGGAAUGCGCAGAUAUCAGGAGGAACAUCCGUGGCGAAGGCGGCUCUCUGGGCCGAUACUGACGCUGAGGAGCGAAAGCGUGGGGAGCGAACAGG